RNAcentral lists this unclassified non-coding RNA (452 nucleotides) under Hevea brasiliensis (rubber tree). The record is from RNAcentral. Lineage: Eukaryota; Viridiplantae; Streptophyta; Magnoliopsida; Malpighiales; Euphorbiaceae.
AGAUCCAAGAUUUUGUUCUUUGUCUUUUAUCAAGUAUUUUACAUACUACAUGGAGUAUAAGAUGUUUCGUAAAAUAUAUAAUUUGAACUUAGCAUCUGCUAGAUGUAUAUUUUUAUUAUCUCACAUGCUUAAGUGAAGAUUUUUGCUAAAAUAUAACACGUGGCAUUAUUUUUCUUUACUCCUUUUCAAGAGCUGAUACUUGAAGGUUGAUUUCAUUUCUUUUUCUUAUAUUUGAGAACAGUGUCAUAGAUGGAUAACAAAUUUUUUUCCUUAAAGCAUCAUCUUUUUUACUUUUCCUUUUGUGGUGAGGGGGAAGGUCUUCUUUCUUUAAAAUCAAGAGCCCUUACAUGAUCUUUGUGCGGAUUAAAGGGUCAGUAUCAGUGCUAUUCUUUUUAUUCCUAUUAUAAUUUGGAAUUUUUUUUGACAUUAGUGUGACUUAGUUGAGGGCAGUG